UCAGGGUACAGUGGCAUGUGCCUGCAGUCCCAACUACUCACGAGGCUGAGGCUGGAGGAUUGCUUGAAGCCAGGAAUUCUAGGCUAUCAUGCACUAUGCUGAUUGGGUGUCCACAGUAUGUUCAGCAACAGUAUGGUGACCUCCUGUGAGCAGGAGACCACCAGGUUGCCUAGGAGGGGAGAAAGGACGAGGGAGCAGAUCAGUUCCCCUGCUGGUCAGGAGCGGGAUUGCCCCUGUGAAUAGCCACUGCACUCCAACCUGGGCAAUAUGGGAAGAGCCGGCCUCUU
This is a non-coding RNA of Otolemur garnettii (small-eared galago), 287 nucleotides long. The record is from Rfam. NCBI's taxonomy places the organism in Eukaryota, Metazoa, Chordata, Mammalia, Primates, Galagidae.